Canis lupus familiaris (dog) is the source of this 1492-nucleotide long non-coding RNA. RefSeq lists it as uncharacterized. The record is from RefSeq and is a predicted model, not a curated record. The transcript is spliced from 9 exons. Lineage: Eukaryota; Metazoa; Chordata; Mammalia; Carnivora; Canidae.
GCAAAAGAAACAGUCAACAAAACUAAAAGACAACCUGGAGACAGGGCCUUUAAAGAGCAACACCCAAAGGCAAUGAUCUUGGACUGUGGUCCAAUGGAAAUGAAGCAGAAUUUCAAGACAACCCUUUUCAGCCUUGGCAAUUGGAAAAAGAAAUGACCUGUAUAUUGAUGACCUUUCAUAGAUAAUUAUAAGGAAAAUGAUUAUAAUUACAGUGGAAACAAAAUGAAAACGUAGAAACCUAUGGGAGUGCUUGAGAGUUUAAAGCCAAUCGCUGCUGUUCCUAAAGAUGCUUUGAUUUUAGGCAUUGUACUGGGGAUACCUCGACCUCUUCACCGACCAUCUGCAUGUAUCAGGAAGAUGUGACGAUGCCUCCAUGUUCCAGAGACUGAUCUGCAGAACUGUCAGGUGUGCAGCUGAAGGAAAAGAUCACGCAUUUUAGAUGACACACAUGAAAGCAUAGCCAACCUGAGGUCAUCCACUUUGGAGACACUAACCGACUGCUUUGUUGAAAAUGUGCUAUAAAGCUACUGCCUGUCCGUAACUUCAAGCAUAUUUGGAAUCUGUGAGGUUGAAAGUGCAAGUCCCCCCUUUGCUUUGAUUAGCCCUGUCUUCCAAAGAUUCUCCAUCCUACCUCUCCACACUAAUUGAAUCACAUAGCAACUCCAAAACAUAUUAACUUCAAAUUCUGAGAACUGACAAAUCCUCUUACUUGAAACAGAUGAAUAAGCAGGCUGUUUGUCUUGGGACUUCUGCACAGCCAGCUGAAUGGAAUGUGGGGCCAAGAAAAUGGAGAAGCUGAAUCACCAAACAUUGUGUCACUCGUCCAAGAUCACACAGGAAGGAAUUUUCUGUGCAAUAUUUAUUGUGUCAUCUCUAAGGAUACCAUCAUGAAAAUCACAAGUAACUUCUGACAAGGGAUUAAAUAAAGUUACAUGGAGAAAAUAAAAUAAAGCUGCUUAUUUUAGGACACUGGUCAAAUGGAAAGUUUAAGAUUACUUCAGAGAAUAUUGAAACAUAAAUUCAUGGAAAUCUCAAUCCUUCAUCGGCAAAAGCAAUCUGAUUCAAGUGAAUGUCUAGUUGUAGCUGGCCCAAGGACCGAGCAGCUGACAUGAAUGCCUGAGGUCAGUGGGCAGGAGUGCAUAUGAGGACAUUGCCUUAAAUGGUGGAGAGAAGCAGGACCCCUAUCUUCACAUUCAUGUCAAGAAGGACAGCCAUUGCCUAGCUCCAGGUGACUUCUUCCAAGAUGGAAUGCACAACAUUUCCCAGUUUUUGGAGAGAAGCUCCUUUCCCCCUCUCCAAUUUGAGUUUUCAUGUGAAAUACCUUAAUUUUAAGUUAUGGCUCAAUUUUUAGAAGACCCUUUGCAGUUAGUCUACACAAACCAUAUCCAAAGAGCAGAUUUCACGCACAGGCAGCCAGUUUGCAAACUCGGUUCCACUCAGACCAUACACAGACAACACAGCAAGCUUUGGGCCUGAUUUUACAUUUUGUAUU